GCGUGUGACUGCGUACCUUUUGUAUAAUGGGUCAGCGACUUAUAUUCUGUAGCAAGGUUAACCGAAUAGGGGAGCCGAAGGGAAACCGAGUCUUAACUGGGCGUUAAGUUGCAGGGUAUAGACCCGAAACCCGGUGAUCUAGCCAUGGGCAGGUUGAAGGUUGGGUAACACUAACUGGAGGACCGAACCGACUAAUGUUGAAAAAUUAGCGGAUGACUUGUGGCUGGGGGUGAAAGGCCAAUCAAACCGGGAGAUAGCUGGUUCUCCCCGAAAGCUAUUUAGGUAGCGCCUCGUGAAUUCAUCUCCGGGGGUAGAGCACUGUUUCGGCAAGGGGGUCAUCCCGACUUACCAACCCGAUGCAAACUGCGAAUACCGGAGAAUGUUAUCACGGGAGACACACGGCGGGUGCUAACGUCCGUCGUGAAGAGGGAAACAACCCAGACCGCCAGCUAAGGUCCCAAAGUCAUGGUUAAGUGGGAAACGAUGUGGGAAGGCCCAGACAGCCAGGAUGUUGGCUUAGAAGCAGCCAUCAUUUAAAGAAAGCGUAAUAGCUCACUGGUCGAGUCGGCCUGCGCGGAAGAUGUAACGGGGCUAAACCAUGCACCGAAGCUGCGGCAGCGACGCUUAUGCGUUGUUGGGUAGGGGAGCGUUCUGUAAGCCUGCGAAGGUGUGCUGUGAGGCAUGCUGGAGGU
Molecule: ribosomal RNA, 692 nt
Filed under: Escherichia coli
Lineage: Bacteria; Pseudomonadati; Pseudomonadota; Gammaproteobacteria; Enterobacterales; Enterobacteriaceae
Description: partial 23S ribosomal RNA
Rfam family: Bacterial large subunit ribosomal RNA
Source: RNAcentral